RNA transcript from Triticum aestivum (bread wheat), 1842 nucleotides. RefSeq lists it as uncharacterized. The transcript is spliced from 4 exons. Lineage: Eukaryota; Viridiplantae; Streptophyta; Magnoliopsida; Poales; Poaceae. The record is from RefSeq and is a predicted model, not a curated record.
UUGACGGAUCUCGAUCCACCAACCACACGACCGACCACCAGUAGCUACAGGUAAAGAGACGGCGCCCGCGAGCGAGCUACGGCGGCAGCCGGAGCAAGGGAGCGGGCGACGGAGGUGGUGGUUUCGCCCCGGUUAACCUGUAGCUACUCCUCGCCUCGCGCAAGCGAGCGACAGCGGCAGCCGAGCUUCUCCUCGACCCGGCGGCAGCGCCGACCAGUUUCACCCCGGUCUGACUGUAGCUUCUCCCUGCCUCGCGCGAGUGAGCGACGGCGGCAGCGGAGCUUCUUCCCUACCCCGGCGGCAGCACCGACCAGUUUCACCCUGGUCUGAGUGUAGCUUCUCCCUGCCACAGAUGGAAUCAAGUGAGAAGACUGCUGCAACUGUUGGCCCCUUGUCGAGGAUGAAGACGACGAAAUCAACAGAUCGAUUUGGUACGAUUCCGCUGGCAUCCCAACUGUCUCGUGUCAAAAACAUCUCAGUCAUCCGAUCUGAAGCUCUGGGGAACAAGCGGAAGCUGCCUCUAUCGCAGAUGAACCCACUCGGCGCUUUUCACAAACAAUGUGGAGCUGCUGGACGACGGCGACCUCCUCUCUCCGAUUCAGCUCAGAUAAACAUAUCUACUAUGGAAGAAAGCCUAGAACUAAUAAAUGCUGGUACCACAGACGGUGAUGAGAUUACCUGCUGGACUGUUCAGACCGGCACCCAGCAUUACCGAGAAAAAAAUGAGCAAGUGUACAUGUUGAAGCCAAAGGUACGACAAACUACAAGAUACCCACCACCAUCAACACCGGGUGAUGAGAGCAGUGUACCGCAUCAUGGACAUAUGAUGCAUGCCGCUAUGCAUAAACAAUGACACCACACAAGCAUGCUGGAACCAAUCGUAGAGACGAGUGAGGUAGAAAAUGAAGCUGCUAAUGGCACGGACACUGGCUACAUUGAAAGCUGUACUAAAGUUGUUGAUCAACAAACCUACGAUCAAGACUACGAGCCUGUCUAUGUUCUCAUACCAAAAACACGAGAUCAUGCGCAAGCUACACCACGCGUGCAAGCAGAGCACUCGUUGACGCGUGAUGUUCCACCAACAAAAGAUGAAGCCAUUGCCAACAUCAAAACUGGGCAUCUGCAAUUCGCUUUCAGCAAAACAACUUGAGCAACAAGGGUUCUACUCAAAACAGUCUCCUCACAGAACCCAUUAUGGAGCCAACAUCCUAUGAGGAAACACAGCAACAGACCGACCUCAUCACGACUGCUACCACCACGAGAUCCACUACUCCGUGUGCCUAUCGUCACACCACCAUGUCCAAUACAGCAUGGACACUUGCAAACACCAGCAGAGCUCUGAUCAUACACGCACAGCACAGACAUUCCUGCUCAACAAGUUCCAGUGCUAGGACAGGAAUUCAAUUCAUCUGAUGAUGCAUUCAAUUUUUUUAAUGACUACGCCAAACAUGUUGGGUUCGGGAUAAGGAAAGGACAGAAAAAUAAGAAGAAAUGCUACUUAUAUUGCGUACACUCUGGCAAAUACACAUCCUCUGUUCACGAUGCAGAUCGUCGGCGCAACAAAGUAACAAAAAGAACUGAUUGCAAGAUAAUGAUGCUCUUGAAAGAAAGAGACGACGGGACUUGUGUUGUCAAAGAUAUUGUGAUUGAACACAACCACAGGCUCCUUGACAGCCCGUCCGCGCUCGUCUUUCUGUAUUCACACAAAACGAUAGAUCCAACAGUAAAAGAAUACAUAAAAGACCUGCAUAAGACAAAUGUUAAGCAUGUGAAUAUCAUGAGUCUCCUUUCUUGGUUAUCUGGUGGGCGCGACAAAUUGCCUUUCACAGACAAGGACGUGCU